GGCAAAUGGAUCGUAAAGUCUUCAAAAAAGAAUAGAUACGAUUGCAUUGCAUGUAGUARC
This 60-nucleotide small RNA is filed under the name Arabidopsis thaliana (thale cress). RNAcentral describes it as "ATSL162450". Lineage: Eukaryota; Viridiplantae; Streptophyta; Magnoliopsida; Brassicales; Brassicaceae. The record is from RNAcentral.